GGUUGUUUUUUAAACAAGUGCAGAAAACAAACAAAGUUGCAUUGUAAUUCAUGCAACAUCCUUUUUUUUAAGAAAAGAAAAACACAAAUUUGGCCUUCACACAUUUUUUGCAAAGAACAGAAGGUAUUUUUUUUCUGUAGUGUGAUCACAAUGAAAACAUUAUUGUCUUUUGUUCCCUUUUUCCCUUGAGGAUUUUUCCCUGUUGUUGGGGGUACCUUUCUCCUCUGAGACUCAUUUCCUGGGAUGUGUCCUUGUCUGUCCCUAGGUACCCAGUGUGAUGUGAGACAUGAAUGUCUGUGCUAACUUGUCUCAUGUGCAACCCUUUUUUCGAUGGGGGUUGGGCAGGAGUGAGGGGUGUGGAGAGUAACCGUCCAGAACUAAACUUCCAAGGGGGCCUGGGAGGAGGGUCUGCAGGACCUGAGGAUCUUUGGCUAGGCUUCUGCAAACUGGUGGAAGUGGCUUUUUACUUGCCGCAUUCUGUGCCGCUGGAGGGCCACUGAUGGCUUCAUCUCACCCUGGGGUAUUUCAUGAUGUCAUUCAGCAUCUUUUUCAAACUGCCCCAAACUCUUGUCUGAGCUUUACAUUUUGAAGCUAAAUGCAAUCCCCUACCCCUUUUUUGCAAAUCGUGCGUAGUUGUCAAUGUCACCCCCCCCCUGCUGGAUGGAGAAAGUGUCUCCCAGGCCCUGUCCCCCAGUCUGGUGACAUAACAUCCUGGGGCUAAGAGCCCACCCUCCAAGAGGCAGAGGCCCCCCAGGAUGUCUGUGGUUGGUUGACCCUCCCAUGGUGUUCCUCAUUCAUCUCCUCCUCUCUCCCAAAGUCCAAUAUGAGAACCAGCAUGCACAGCCAGCCUUCAGCAUGGGCGCCAUGUCCAGGGAGGGGAGGCCACCCUUGACAAAGGGAUGGCAGUGGUGGCCGGGAUACCAGCCUGCCUUCCUCAGGGAGGAACCCUCUCUCAUGACUUUGGGGAUCUUCCCUCCACUGCUCAGCUGCCACCACUGAGAAAUAAGUGUGUAGGAGUGUGAUGCCUGGUGGCCUUUGAUUCUGGAAAGAUGCUUAACAGAAAGCCAGCCAAAGAGAGAAAGGCAUGAACCAAGCAUACUUCUUAGUGGCUCCGAGGUCCUCUGCCCAUUCCCCACCUGAGAGCUAAUUGCAGAGUCAGGAGGAAGCUGGAUGGGCUUUCAGGAGAUUUCUUUCAGUGAAGUUCUUCUAAAACCACUUCCUCUCUAAAGAAGCCUAACCAGGGUUUUAAAGAAAGACUAAGGAGAAAGGAGGAAAGAACUCAUUUGGUGCAGCUUGGCAGUGUCUUGCAACCCCACCAGGAUGGGGGGACGCUCAUCCUAGUGCCGAUGGACCCCGGAUGCCAGGCUCCAUGUCCCCUGAAGACCCAGGCCUGAGGUCACUGGGAAGAGGCUUCAGCCCUCUCGAGUGGUAGUGCCCAGGCCUGGUGGUAUGCCCUGGCCCAGAUGGCAGCCGCCAGGCCUGAGGAAGCCUGGCAGGGCGGGAGAGUAACAGCAAGAACUAGGUCCUUGCUACUGUCUCAUCUGCCUCAUUACCAUCUUUGUUACCACUCGCAGAGGCUCUGGGAGACCGGGAGGGGAAACCAAAUGCUUUUUGAGCUGGGCUUCUUAAAAAAUGGGACUUUUAUGGGUUGCAUUUACAUUAAGUGUGGAAAAUGAAUUCUGAGUCUGAGCUAUUCCCCGUGGAAACCUUGUUGGACUGAUAAGCUCAUGGCACCUUUAUAGCCUUACUCACAGAGUCUUCAGGAUAUUACCUGAGUUAAUGAAACCAAGAAGGUCUCUUACCGCAUGAGAAUCGGAGCAGUGUGUGGUCUGGGUUCUGCCUGGCAGAGGGAGAAAAGGUUUCGCCUUACGUCAUCCCAUUGGGAUAGAGGAUGUGUUUCGCUAAGUGCUCUUCCUGUUUCCAAAAAAGUCACACUGCUGCGACAGUGAGUCUCGGCCUGCUGGUCCACGGACUGCCUUCAGCCGCUGGGUGCAGAAAGCCACUGAGUCAGAUGCUGCACCCUCGAGCUCGCCGUGCAUGGCGGGAGUUGGCAGUGGGCUCCCAUCAGCAGGAUCUUCUUGGAUGGGCUAGAAAAGUUUGGCCUGAAGAAACAAGUUUCUCAUCCAAAACAGACUUAUUAAAAUGUACUCUUAAUAGAAGGGCAAAGCUCUCCUGCCCAUGGACCUAGCUCAUCGGUCCCACCCUGGAUGCCCGACAUCAGUCACAACCUCCAGGGGACAUGUCCUUAGAGGGCAGAGACUGAGUGAGGGCCAAAGGAAUCAUCUGCCUCCACCUCCCCAGCACUCUGUCCUCCCCUACCACCACCCCACCAAAGUAACAAUGUGAACUUCGAGAGUGAUUGAGCAUUUGUUUAAAAAAAAAUGUUAUUUAUAUUUUUUUCUGGGCUACAUACCACCAGGGAGGUCCUGCUUCUGUGCAGGGAGAAGCUGAGCAUCCUCACGCUUUAGAGAAAGGCUCUCGGGUGUGGUCUAGGUUCCGCCUGGCAGUGGGUGCUGCUCCUCUAGAGACUGUUGCCGCGUGGCCCUGGCAAGGUGGUUUCCUGCACGCCUCCAUUCUCAGGCUGUCUUGCCUACACCACCGUCCAGUGUCCCAGCAAGAGCAAAUCUGAGGCAAAAACCAGAGUUCUCUGUGCCUGCUUAGCAUAGAGAAUUCAGGCUGCAAAGCCAUCCCUGAAGGCAUCAGCCCUUUUGGCACUAACCAGCCAUCUUGUCUCCAGUCCGUGGAACAAGCAGCACUUUCUCAUCAGUUCACAGUUCUGCAGGAUAUCAGCCUCUGACCCAAAAUAAAGGUUUAUUUUAGAAUGAUUCCUGCUUCUCCCCCACCCUCCACAGCUGCCACCAACCCCUCAUCCUCUGCCCAUGUGUCAUCAACUAACACAGGACUUUAGUGCUUGUUCGAUGUUGCCUCUAGAAGAUGAGGUUUCCAUCUCCUGUUCCCACACAGACAUGGUGGGAAGGCAGAGCGAAGAUAAUGAGAACACAAAGGCAGUCCGUGGGGUGGAAGAUUUGAAACCAUCCCUGAGGAGAUGAACAGAGGUUGAGAAUGGCCAGGGUGAAUGCUGUAAAUGCAUCAGGAUGAGGUGAACCUGGGAACAAAUAAUGGUGAGGCAAGGAAGGUGGUGAGUAUGACUGGGCCAUGUGUACACAGACACAUAACCAGGACUCAAAUCUAUUUUUGUAAAUGAGAAUGAAGAACCUUUCAGCUGUGACUUUUAAGUGCCAUCUUUAUAGCUAGCUGGGCUUCCCAUUGUGCACAGGCAACUUUGGACGGUCCACUUAGAAGGCACCUUGCAACCUUGUGUUGGCCGCUGCCAUGUGGUGAAGGCAGUGACGCUGCUGAGCCUUGUGCCCAGAGAAGGAACAUGCCUCCGCAGGCCUCAGUCCUCGAAGUCAAAUCCACUCUCCACUUCUCACAGGGCCACCAACUGAUGGGUCCAGACAGAACCCAGCUGUCCUUUCCCUUGGGGUCCUCAUUAAGACCGAAAGCCUUCCAUGGAAGGCUCAUCACCCCUAGCUAGGUUUAUCCACUUAUCUCUAUUUUAUUGGAAAGAAGGAUUCAGAAAAAGAACUCUAGGUCAAGGCCCUUUCAUUUAACCUUCAAAUAACAGCAAACUCAUUUUAAAGAUUCAUUGCUCAGGUGAUAGAAACUUUAUCCUCUCCAACCUUUACAUUUUCAAAAACCAGCCUUGUGUGCUUGACCACCCCAGACAGCGGUGAGCUCUUAGGUUUGACAUGCAAUGUGGAAGAGCAGACUGGGGGGAGACCCGGGUGUGGCCGAUUCUGUGUUUCUUACCCCCUCUGGAAUGCUAAAGGCAUCAAACUGGGAGGCCUAGUGCCCCCCAAGAAAAAUGAGAUGGAUCCUGAGAGCAAGCUGCUGAGGGAAAGCCAACCUUUGGGCAGGCUCAGCUGUCCUGGCAGAAGCUGAGUCGCAGGUGCCUGGCUGUGCCCGGCAGCCCAGAUUCACCCACCACCGGAAUCUCACUUUUCUAAACCUGCCUGAUCUUGAAGACUUCCGAACCUGCAGCUUCGGCAAAAUGACUCUCCCGAGCUGCCUCUAGAUGACCAACACUGGAGACUCUGGCCUUACCAUGUGGAAAUAGUUUUCCUGAAGUCUGGAACUAAUUUUGAGAAGUUUUUUUCUCAACUUUUGUGUUUCUAACACUGUAUUCUUGACUGUGUAAAUAUCGACAAGGCUGUAAAUAAAUGCAGAUGUAGAUACCUUCUAGAAAAAAAAAAAAGGCAUAAAAACAAAACCAGAAGUGAUCCCGUGUAGCCUUCGUUGAUAAAUAAAAGAAUAUUUUGUGUUUAAA
Molecule: long non-coding RNA, 4330 nt
Organism: Condylura cristata (star-nosed mole)
Lineage: Eukaryota; Metazoa; Chordata; Mammalia; Eulipotyphla; Talpidae
Exons: 2
Source: RefSeq, a predicted model, not a curated record